GCAAAAGAUUCCAGUCUCCAGUGAAUCAUCACUUGAAAGCAACUUCGAGUACAAUGGAACUGCAUUUUGGUUCGUAAUUGGUGUCUACUCACCUGUACUUUGUCAUCCAGAUGAAGCCGAUGGAGUAUGCGCCGAAAUGUGACUGAGCCAUCUGCUGGCAGCAGUGAACAUGAUCGGCUUCCUGCACAAAAGACCCAACAACUUGACUCUCUCGAUGGUCAACGCACCUGUCCGACGUUCUUAAGAGCCGACCACUUCGCCACCCAGCGACGAGCAGACUGCCAUCCAACUUGCAAC
Long non-coding RNA from Hippocampus comes (tiger tail seahorse), 297 nucleotides. RefSeq lists it as uncharacterized. Lineage: Eukaryota; Metazoa; Chordata; Actinopteri; Syngnathiformes; Syngnathidae. The transcript has 4 exons. The record is from RefSeq and is a predicted model, not a curated record.